UACGUAGGUGACAAGCGUUGUCCGGAUUUACUGGGCGUAAAGAGCGCGCAGGCGGUCGAUCAAGUCGAGUGUGAAAGCCCCCGGCUCAACUGGGGAGGGUCAUUCGAUACUGAUCGACUCGAAGGCAGGAGAGGGUAGUGGAAUUCCCGGUGUAGUGGUGAAAUGCGUAGAGAUGCGGAGGAACACCGAUGGCGAAGGCAGCCCCCUGGGCUAACACUGACGCUCAGGCACGAAAGCGUGGGGAGCAAACAGG
This 253-nucleotide ribosomal RNA is filed under the name uncultured bacterium. Its description in RNAcentral is "partial 16S ribosomal RNA". It matches the Rfam family "Bacterial small subunit ribosomal RNA", at positions 524 to 776 of the family's 1533-position model. The record is from RNAcentral.